UGAGAGGGACGGAUGGUCGCUCAUGUGCUCUUCGCUUUAUUAUGGGGAGCUCGUGGGAGGAAAGUCCGGACACCAUAGAACAGGAUGGUGGAUAACACCCACCGAUCGUGAGAUCAGGGAAAGUGCAACAGAAAGCAAACCGCCUCUCGACUUCGGUUUUGAGGUAAGGGUGAAACGGUGAGGUAAGAGCUUACCAGCGCCAGGAGUGAUUUUGGCGGCUAUGCAAACCCCAUCCGGUGCAAUGCCAAGCAAGGAGGAGCGGUUUUCCCGCACGUGUUUGUUCGACACGUUCGACUCCUGGGUAGGCAGCUUGAGGCACACAGCAAUGCGUGUCCUAGAUAAAUGACUAUCGUUCAGAUUUUUUCUGAAACAGAAUCCGGCUUAUAGUCCCUCUCUUUUU
This 400-nucleotide RNase P RNA is filed under the name Planctomycetia bacterium. RNAcentral describes it as "RNase P RNA component class A". It matches the Rfam family "Bacterial RNase P class A". From Rfam's summary of the family: Ribonuclease P (RNase P) is a ubiquitous endoribonuclease, found in archaea, bacteria and eukarya as well as chloroplasts and mitochondria. Its best characterised activity is the generation of mature 5'-ends of tRNAs by cleaving the 5'-leader elements of precursor-tRNAs. The record is from RNAcentral. Lineage: Bacteria; Pseudomonadati; Planctomycetota; Planctomycetia.